GAUGAACGCUGGCGGCGUGCCUAAUACAUGCAAGUCGAGCGAACAGACGAGGAUCUUGCUCUUCUGACGUUAGCGGCGGACGGGUGAGUAACACGUGGAUAACCUAUCUAUAAGACUGGGAUAACUUCGGGAAACCGGAGCUAAUACCGGAUAAUAUAUUGAACCGCAUGGUUCAAUAGUGAAAGACGGUUUUGCUGUCACUUAUAGAUGGUUCCGCGCCGCAUUAGCUAGUUGGUAAGGUAACGGCUUACCAAGGCGACGAUGGGUAGCCGACCGGAGAGGGUGAUCGGCCACACUAGAACUGAGACACGGUCCAGACUCCUACGGGAGGCAGCAGUAGGGAAUCUUCGGCAAUGGACGGAAGCCUGACGGAGCAACGCCGCGUGGGUGAUGAAGGUCUUCGGAUCGUAAAACUCUGUUAUUAGGGAAGAACGAAUGUGUAAGUAACUAUGCACGUCGUGACGGUACCUUAUCAAAAAGCCACGGCUAACUACGUG
Molecule: ribosomal RNA, 497 nt
Filed under: uncultured bacterium
Lineage: Bacteria
Description: partial 16S ribosomal RNA
Rfam family: Bacterial small subunit ribosomal RNA
Source: RNAcentral